This is a long non-coding RNA of Talpa occidentalis (Iberian mole), 425 nucleotides long. RefSeq lists it as uncharacterized. The record is from RefSeq and is a predicted model, not a curated record. NCBI's taxonomy places the organism in Eukaryota, Metazoa, Chordata, Mammalia, Eulipotyphla, Talpidae. The transcript is spliced from 3 exons.
GAUAGGUCCUUUAAUUUUCGCUCAUCUUAUGCUGAAUCCAUUUCACGCUGCUUAGUUAACUAUUCAUCAGAAUAUGCAGGAAGACACUUUAUCAUUUUUAUUUUUAAUUUCCCUUUGAUGGUUUGCUUUUUUAAAUGCACAAAAACUUAUUUUGUUACACCUUCUAAAAAAUGGAAAUGUCAUUUUAAAAUGGAGCCUAUGAAAAUUGCUAUCUAUUCAAAUGACAUUCAAGUAUGAGUCAUUUCCCAGGGCAGUAAUUGUUUUUCUAUAGUUGGAUUAUACCAUGCACAUGCUAAUUAUGAAGGUUUGUGAUCCAUUUUGAGUUAUUUUUUUUAAGAGUCUAGUAUCUAUAUGUAUAUGAAGUCAGAGAGACAGAGAGAGCAUCAAACUUACUCAAUGCUUAUUUCAAUCAUAAAAUUGCAAAU